RNAcentral lists this small RNA (24 nucleotides) under Arabidopsis thaliana (thale cress). RNAcentral's name for it is "ATSL282290". The record is from RNAcentral. Lineage: Eukaryota; Viridiplantae; Streptophyta; Magnoliopsida; Brassicales; Brassicaceae.
UGGUGAUGAUGAUGAGAAUGUGAA